AACGAACGCUGGCGGCAGGCCUAACACAUGCAAGUCGAGCGCGCCCUUCGGGGUGAGCGGCGGACGGGUGAGUAACGCGUGGGAACGUGCCCUUAUGUUCGGAAUAACCUCGGGAAACUGGGAGUAAUACCGCAUAAGCCCUUUGGAGGAAAGAUUUAUCGGAGAAGGAUCGGCCCGCGUUGGAUUAGGUAGUUGGUGGGGUAAAGGCCCACCAAGGCGACGAUCCAUAGCUGGUUUGAGAGGAUGAUCAGCCACACUGGGACUGAGACACGGCCCAGACUCCUACGGGAGGCAGCAGUGGGGAAUCUUAGACAAUGGGGGCAACCCUGAUCUAGCCAUGCCGCGUGAGUGAUGAAGGCCUUAGGGUUGUAAAGCUCUUUCAGCUGGGAAGAUAAUGACGGUACCAGCAGAAGAAGCCCCGGCUAACUCCGUG
Molecule: ribosomal RNA, 433 nt
Filed under: uncultured bacterium
Lineage: Bacteria
Description: partial 16S ribosomal RNA
Rfam family: Bacterial small subunit ribosomal RNA
Source: RNAcentral